GUGCUUGCUUCGGCAGCACAUAUACUAAAAUUGGAACGAUACAGAGAAGAUUAGCAUGGCCCCUGCACAAGGAUGACAUGCAAAUUUGUGAAGUGUUCCAUGUUUUU
Molecule: small nuclear RNA, 107 nt
Organism: Myotis lucifugus (little brown bat)
Lineage: Eukaryota; Metazoa; Chordata; Mammalia; Chiroptera; Vespertilionidae
Source: Ensembl